GCUACACAGGGCUCCGGCCCCCCAGGAAUGGAGUUUGACACCCCUGUGCUAUGGUCUCCAUGCCCUUAAUGUGGCACUUCUUCUCGAAAUAAUUCCAGAGGACCCAUCCACUGAAUCGAGUCUAUCUGCAGCCAUAGUGCUGGCAACGUCCUUUAGAUCGAUAGCGACCCGUGCAUCCGUGCCAAGGAGAUGUGGUAGAACCUUUUCAUAUUUCACAUGCAGAACAGAGAGGCGGACGAAGCAGAAAUGGAGCUGCCAAGCUCUGAAGCCUCCAUGCUGUCUGCUGGAGACAUCAAGCCAAGCACAAUAAGUGAUGUCUGCUGGAGAACAAUGGAAUAAAUGUAUGAAGUUUGUUGUGCUGA
This is a non-coding RNA of Paramormyrops kingsleyae, 362 nucleotides long. NCBI's taxonomy places the organism in Eukaryota, Metazoa, Chordata, Actinopteri, Osteoglossiformes, Mormyridae. The record is from RefSeq and is a predicted model, not a curated record.